This is a long non-coding RNA of Triplophysa dalaica, 548 nucleotides long. RefSeq lists it as uncharacterized. Lineage: Eukaryota; Metazoa; Chordata; Actinopteri; Cypriniformes; Nemacheilidae. The transcript has 2 exons. The record is from RefSeq and is a predicted model, not a curated record.
UUGCGGGUCACUCCGUCUCACCACGAUGAGCGGAAGACCCGGCGGCCUCAGAAGCAGGACAGCAGCAGCGGAUCACGUCCUGCUGGACGGUUUACGUCUGCUGUCCCUCAAGUGACAUGAGCCAACAUCACAGAUUACUUGAGACUAAAAUCCAAUAACAGUCAAGCAUUCCAGGCAGGAAAGGAGGACAGGAGAGUAUGCUACACAUCAACGCACAUACCCAUAUAGCGUGGGGUCUAAGCAACAAAGUUUAUGUGGAAACUGGGUGGGGGAAGUGUGUUAUCUUGCAGAUAGUAAAAGAAGAAGGACGUAGUCUACGAAAAUAUGAGAUGAAGCAUCACUCCAUUGGACACAAAGAAAGUAGCAGAGGUCAAGGCGCUCAGGGGUUGGCCACUGUCCGAAGCAAGCUUGAAGACACACCCACACAUACACAUAUAAAAAUGUUGUACACUGUUUGAGCGGGGCUGAUUCUCUCUGUGAAGACUUUUUUUUUGUCUGAGAUAAGCCCAGCGCUGAGAUUCAACUUAAUAAACUUCAACUUUUGUUCA